This 234-nucleotide long non-coding RNA is filed under the name Gossypium barbadense (sea-island cotton). RNAcentral describes it as "long non-coding RNA (GBAR_LNC003159)". Lineage: Eukaryota; Viridiplantae; Streptophyta; Magnoliopsida; Malvales; Malvaceae. The record is from RNAcentral.
CUAAUGUCAUGGCCGGCCACUACUAGAUGGGGGGGAAAAUUGACAUGCAAGUCCCCCCUUUUUCAACAUGCACUAAUAGGUCCUUAUGUUUUGAUCUAUCACAUUUCAAAAAUGUCACACAUAAGUCCUAUUGACUAAAUUCACAUGCAACUUACUAAAUAGAAGCUUAAAAUUUUCACACAUUUAUUUUAGACAAUAAAUAUCAUAUUCAAACAAUUUGGUGACUCGGUUUAG